CCUACGGGAGGCAGCAGUGGGGGAUAUUGCACAAUGGGGGAAACCCUGAUGCAGCGACGCCGCGUGUGUGAGGACGGUUUUCGGUAUUGUAAACCACUGCCGCCAGGGAUGAAGAUGACGGUACCUGGGAAGGAAGCUCCGGCUAACUACGUGCCAGCAGCCGCGGUAAUACGUAGGGGGCGAGCGUUGUCCGGAAUUACUGGGUGUAAAGGGAGCGUAGGCGGGGAUGCAAGUCGGGUGUGAAAACUACCGGCACAACCUGUGGUCGCAUUCGAAACUGCAGCACUUGAGUGAAGGAGAGGCAAGCGGAAUUCCUAGUGUAGCGGUGAAAUGCGUAGAUAUUAGGAGGAACACCAGUGGCGAAGGCGUCCUGCUGGACUUUUACUGACGCUGAGGCUCGAAAGUGUGGGGAGCAAACAGGAUUAGAUACCCCGGUAGUC
This 440-nucleotide ribosomal RNA is filed under the name uncultured bacterium. RNAcentral describes it as "partial 16S ribosomal RNA". It matches the Rfam family "Bacterial small subunit ribosomal RNA", at positions 338 to 795 of the family's 1533-position model. The record is from RNAcentral.